CUCUCAAGGCCAAGGAACAACUCAGAGAAGCCCCUGAACGGCCCGCAGUUUGGGGGAGAGAAACGUCGGGGUGCGGAUGGGCGCCUCUCCAUGGGAAGCCUUCCGGAUAGUUUUGUGCCGCAUUGCGGGCAGCUACCCGCUCCCGCCCCCCAGCAAGUUCCAAAGGAGUGCCUGCAGUUUCACAAAGCCAGGCCUCUGGAGCAGCCGGUGCCUGUGGCCCACACUGGUUUGCUUAACUUGGUGCGGCUUGCUGACAAGCGGAAAGCUGUAUGUUUGCUCUCAUUUGUUAGAGGUUAUGGAUCAAAGAUUGUCCGAAAUGCCCACACUGUCGUCACCUACCUUGGUAACUUCACUCUUGGCAUAAGCCCUACCUGGAGAAUGUACUCGACUAAUUAUAAACUAAAAGCAUAUACGUUACUGAAGAGCUUCUUCCUGUAGGGUAGGCUAGAUGAACUGAAUGCUCACGAAGAUGUGUGUAUCCGGGACUACUACUGACAAAGGAUUUUUCAAUAGAAUUUGGAAACUAGAUUCAACAAAUCUCUAUAGAGUGCCAAGUAUGCUAUCACUCUGCUUAAUCUCAUUAAAUGUUUAAGAAUUUUGAUAUUAAACAACAAAGAAGCCAUACAAAAUAUUGUCACUUAACAAAUGCUCUGUGCCAGACUGGAUCCUGGUGAUGCAAAGUCCAAACAAGAAGGUGGAAAGUACCAAAAGUACCUAUGGAUUCAGAAAUGGAAGCCUGUAUUUUCCACAUUCAGUGGUGCGCAGUGAGUAUCCUGGCUUCCUCAUACCUCAGUCCCAUCACCCACUACCCUUGACCGCAGACCUGUACUCCCUGUGUGUUACGAUUCAGCACAGUUCUGGCACGGUAGUGACUGUGGGAAAAAAAAUGAAAACAAAAGAGACUCAAACUGAACCUCAGCAGGCUGAGGAAAUGAGUGAAAAACAAGACUUAGAAUCAGAAGGCAAGAGCCGGGACGUAGGUCAGGUGACCGGUAUCUCUGCUCUAAUACUGACAUAGAAACUGACGAUCUUGUGGAAGAAACAGAUGGGGCUUGGUCCUCUGUUGCCCGGAAGCGGGAGCCGCAUGGUAAGACCUCCUCUGCAUGGAAAUGCACCUCAAGGAAGCUCUGCAUCUGAGGACAAGAAAAUGAGGAUGGGAGAGGACAAAGGGUCUCAUGUAACACAAUUCUGGAAGACUCUGAAAGAAACUGCAUUUUCGUGACCUGGCUUACGGUAAAGCCAUGCCAGAGAACGCGGUACUGCACAGUGGGAUUUCACAGAGUUCAUGGGAAAGUUGGGGCAUGCCGGGUAACCCCGACGAGGGCGAAGACCGUGUUACAUAUGAAGAUGAACAAAGAGCUGUCCAGUCAGAGCAGCGCCAUGAUGUUCUAAGAUAGGAUGAGAUGUUAAAGUCAGGACUAACCACGGAAGUGAACUUGGAUAAAGAAAAGAAGGGGUACGUAACUGUUCCCCAAAUCCCGCCAUCUCCAGGUGGAGUAAAAGACAGAGAUGAGAUCCAGAAUACCCUGAGCUCAGAAUUGUACCUGUCUAGUGUAGGUGUCAACAAGCUUCAGGAGCCAGUACCACUGUCUGCCAGCACAGAAGCAGUCAAGGACCUGGGCGUACAGUCUGAAUCCCAGAAGCCCCUUAGCACUGGGGAGAGGUAGCCGGACAACAGCAGGGGGAGCCACAACCUCCCUGAGAAAGUAGAUGAAGUGGGACAGAGGGACGGCCAUCCCCAGGGUGCUGUUCCCUCUGCUGCCUGGGUGGCCUAGUUGAUGAAGCCAUCCAGUGUGAUAUGAGCCCCUGGCAGGAUGCAGAGCUGAAGAGGUCCCCAGAUUCAGCACCAGAAGAUAGUAGAAAAGGGACGUGGGAAAAGUCAGUGUGGUAUAUGGAGCUGGAUGAAAUGGGAGAGCACAGCAGUCCCUGGGGAGCUGUUCCCUCUACUUCCUGUGUGGCCCAGUUGAACAAAGUUGACGAAGCCAUCCAGUGUGAUAGGAGCUGGUGCCAGGAUGCAGAGCUGGAGGGCUCCCCAGAGUCAUCACCAGAAGGCAGUAGAAAGGUAACAAGGAGGAACUCAAGACUUUUAGCUUUAUCCUAAAAAUGAAAACUAAAGAUGCUGGUAAUGAUUCCUUGUAUAUCUUGAGCCUGUUAUACAACCAUUUUAAGGAACUAUGUUUUGUUAUUUCAUAGAAAACUAAUAUGAGUUUCAUCUACAAAGGCUCGAUGAAUGUAAAUGUUGCAAUGUCAUGUUUGGUUUAGAACAUUGAUAUCUCUCUUAGUUUGAACUAAUAAAGCUAUUAUACCAACAACCAAGUUAAGAAAAUGUGACAUUGUCAAGCCACUGGAAUUUUAAGUUGUAAAGCAGUUAAUAAAUUGAAUUGCAUGUGUGCAA
Long non-coding RNA from Pteropus alecto (black flying fox), 2395 nucleotides. RefSeq lists it as uncharacterized. NCBI's taxonomy places the organism in Eukaryota, Metazoa, Chordata, Mammalia, Chiroptera, Pteropodidae. The record is from RefSeq and is a predicted model, not a curated record. The transcript has 2 exons.